UAUUUACAGUUUGGACAAAAUGGA
This 24-nucleotide non-coding RNA is filed under the name Rattus norvegicus (Norway rat). Lineage: Eukaryota; Metazoa; Chordata; Mammalia; Rodentia; Muridae. The record is from RNAcentral.